This 426-nucleotide long non-coding RNA is filed under the name Helianthus annuus (common sunflower). The record is from RNAcentral. Lineage: Eukaryota; Viridiplantae; Streptophyta; Magnoliopsida; Asterales; Asteraceae.
GUUUGUUUCACUUUACACAGCUUCAUUAUCUGAGUGAAAGAGCAUAUACAAGUGGGAGAAAGACAGAGAGAGAGAUGCGGCGCCGACUGCUUUCCGGCGAGCCCUCCGUCAAACCCAAUUAGCCUCCGCGGCAGCAACACCACGACCACAUGAUGCUUCCUUCAAAAGAGAUAAAGAGAGAAAUAGGAGAAGCAUAGAGUGUGGUAUAAGAGAGAGAUAGAGAACUUCGACAGUUCGACUUAGGGUUCCGACGAACUCCUUUUGAUGGUAAAUCUGUGCAUAUGUAAGUUGGAGAAGUUGAAGGGUGAAUCCAAUGAUGGCAGAUUAGAGGAAGAGGAGAAGUCAGGAGCAACUUCUACCAUCCAUCAACAAAAAACAGAAGUUGCCGACCUGCACACCGGUUGUUUCACUUAAUGCUUAGUUGAG